UAGGGAAUCUUCCGCAAUGGGCGAAAGCCUGACGGAGCAACGCCGCGUGAAUGAAGAAGGCCUUCGGGUUGUAAAGUUCUUUCGGUAUUGAGGAAGGUUGAUGUGUUAAUAGCACAUCAAAUUGACGUUAAAUACAGAAGAAGCACCGGCUAACUCCGUGCCAGCAGCCGCGGUAAUACGGAGGGUGCGAGCGUUAAUCGGAAUAACUGGGCGUAAAGGGCACGCAGGCGGUUAUUUAAGUGAGGUGUGAAAGCCCCGGGCUUAACCUGGGAAUUGCAUUUCAGACUGGGUAACUAGAGUACUUUAGGGAGGGGUAGAAUUCCACGUGUAGCGGUGAAAUGCGUAGAGAUGUGGAGGAAUACCGAAGGCGAAGGCAGCCCCUUGGGAAUGUACUGACGCUCAUGUGCGAAAGCGUGGGGAGCAAACAGGAUUAGAUACCCUGGUAGUCCACGCUGUAAACGCUGUCGAUUUGGGGGUUGGGGUUUAACUCUGGCGCCCGUAGCUAACGUGAUAAAUCGACCGCCUGGGGAGUACGGCCGCAAGGUUA
This 547-nucleotide ribosomal RNA is filed under the name uncultured bacterium. RNAcentral's name for it is "bacterial SSU rRNA". It matches the Rfam family "Bacterial small subunit ribosomal RNA", at positions 355 to 896 of the family's 1533-position model. The record is from RNAcentral.